CACCCCUGCAGAACACAGUCUGCAACAUCUGUGCUUCCCAGCAGCUGAGCUGUAAAACACUCUUCCCCGCUCUUCACAGAACAACUGUCACAUGGACCAGCACCCAUGCUAAGGGCAAAACUUACAAAACGCUACAAAAGAUAAGCUGCAUUAUGACCAAGUCACAGAUGUUGAGUUUUUUCAUGAGAGAGGACCGAAGAGAACCGGGUUUAGGAUGUACCAGUUCUGGUGCAGUGUGGAUGGGAGGUUUUUGUCAGCGAGGAAUGGGAUCUGAAGCUGACUGCUUAUGGCUUGUGAGACGACAAGACGGACAGGCGAGGCACCCCUGAACCCUUGGAAUUCACUUAUCCUCUCAUCCUAACCGAGGGCCCUGAAUUGCCUGGCCUCUGGAGAAUGCCCCAAAGAUGUUGGUGAAAUGGAUUCUGCAGUUCCGGAUGGAAGAGGGAAAUUCAGAAGCAGG
Long non-coding RNA from Eptesicus fuscus (big brown bat), 460 nucleotides. RefSeq lists it as uncharacterized. The record is from RefSeq and is a predicted model, not a curated record. Lineage: Eukaryota; Metazoa; Chordata; Mammalia; Chiroptera; Vespertilionidae. The transcript has 3 exons.